AGGCGGCCAUAGCACGAGGGUUCCACCCCUCCCCAUUCCGAACAGGGAAGUUAAGCCUCGUCGCGCCGAUGGUACUGAGAAAUCGGGAGAGUAGGUCACC
Molecule: ribosomal RNA, 100 nt
Filed under: human gut metagenome
Also listed under: 1 other name
Source: RNAcentral